UACGGAGGGUGCGAGCGUUGUCCGGAAUCACUGGGCGUAAAGCGCGCGCAGGCGGUCUUUCACGUCCGGGGUGAAAGCCCAGAGCUCAACUCUGGGAUUGCCUUGGAUACGGGGAGACUUGAGGAUCGGAGAGGCAAGGGGAAUUCCACGUGUAGCGGUGAAAUGCGUAGAGAUGUGGAGGAACACCUGUGGCGAAGGCGCCUUGCUGGCCGAUUUCUGACGCUGAGGCGCGAAAGCGUGGGGAGCAAACAGG
Molecule: ribosomal RNA, 253 nt
Filed under: uncultured bacterium
Lineage: Bacteria
Description: partial 16S ribosomal RNA
Rfam family: Bacterial small subunit ribosomal RNA
Source: RNAcentral